AGAGCAAUUAAGCAGAUGAGAAUUUAUUGAACCUUGAAUAACAGAAGUGGGAGAAAAUGAGGAAAGAUAGUGGCAGUUUCUAGAUGAGGAGAAUCCCACCCAACUGUUUUUCUGAGAAACUAUUCCUUUUAGAGUAGGCUCUGGAUGAUGGCCGGCCCUGCGUAAGAAUACACGUGACUUAAGUACUGAUACCUGGGUUCGUCCUCAGAGAUUUUGAUUUCGUAUGAGCAAGGAAAGGGAUAAAAAAUAAAGUUUAUUUUAAAUAAGUUUGUUUCCCAGGUGAUUAUUGUGCAAACCACUAUUGGACCACACCUUUAAAAGCAACUUCCGGAAGAGCCUGGCUUGCCGUUACCUUGAAGUCUCUAACAGGUCUGCGGAAACUCAAAGCAGGGUUUUGGAAGCAAACUGGCACGGGCUGCCAGGGGGCAAGCUGCUGGCUGAGCUUUUCCAUCCCUAAUGAAUAGAAUCUGGAGCCUACAGUAGCUGCCAUGCAAGUUAGCACUAUUUCAAACAAGACAAAACAGUGUGCAGCUGGUAACUGCUACCUUGAACUACAAACUCAGCGGCAGCUUGUAUUCAAUUUCUUGCAGAUGUGGUCGGAGCAAUGCAAUAGCUCUUUCGAAAGCCAGUGGUGCUAAUGUGGCAACAACCUGCUCUGAGGCCGAUGCGACCAUUGUUUUCCCUUAAAGUUACGAUCGAGCACCUGCUUUGGCUCCUUUGGUUGCCAUGGUCUGGAUCUGCAACUGUCUCAUUUGCGAUGAAGAUAAUGCAGGCAGGGUCUGACCAUCCUACCUAGAACCCCAAAGCUGUACUGCAAUGGUUCUCUACCUUCCUAACGCUGUGACCCUUUAAUACCCUUCCUCAUGUGGUGGUGACCCCAACCAUAAAAUUAUUCUCAAUGCUA
This is a non-coding RNA of Rattus norvegicus (Norway rat), 904 nucleotides long. The record is from RefSeq and is a predicted model, not a curated record. Lineage: Eukaryota; Metazoa; Chordata; Mammalia; Rodentia; Muridae.